GUAACGCGUGAGUAACCUGCCUUCAAGAGGGGGAUAACGUUCUGAAAAGAACGCUAAUACCGCAUGAGACUACAGAGCUGCAUGGCUCAAUGGUCAAAGGAGCAAUCCGCUGAAAGAUGGACUCGCGUCCGAUUAGAUAGUAGGCGGGGUAACGGCCCACCUAGUCGACGAUCGGUAGCCGGACUGAGAGGUUGAACGGCCACAUUGGGACUGAGACACGGCCCAGACUCCUACGGGAGGCAGCAUG
Molecule: ribosomal RNA, 247 nt
Filed under: uncultured bacterium
Lineage: Bacteria
Description: partial 16S ribosomal RNA
Rfam family: Bacterial small subunit ribosomal RNA
Source: RNAcentral